CAAAAUAGUUUUUAGUGGAUAUAGAAUUGAGAGGUUUUUUAACCACUCGGGCAGUAGCCCGAGUGGCCAGGGCUGCUGCCCUCCAACUUGGAGGGCAGCAGUUCGAACCCCCACAAAAACAUUGUGGGGGUAUUUCCUUCUUCAAUUAAUUUGAGUGAAGGUAGUCUUCUCCCUUACCCAUGAGUGAGGAGUAGACAUCCCUCGAAUAUUUGUGAGGGUUAAAAUCUGGGCAGAGCUCCAUUAGCAUUGAUGUCAGUUGGUCCCAGUAAUAGUCUGAUUUGUAAAUAUCAGUAAUAGUCUCAUGUAUAUGAGUUGUAAUCUGAGCAAUAGUCUCAUGUAAUCAAAAAAAAAAAACACUAAUGGAACGCCUAGCCAAUUCUUACGUAAACAACAUGCAUAAAUAAAUUAAGUGGCAGCCAACUCACACGUAAAUUACAUGCAUAAAUUAAUUAAGCUCACAUCAUGUUAUCUACGACGAUGGGAGCCUUCUCUCCUUGUCUCGAUCACUACAAGCAACCCAGCAUCAACAUAAUCCCCGGGCACUGCUUUCACAUAAUGCAAUAUCUGGGCUUCCUAGUAGGGGUGGGCAAAAUCGGAUUCGGGUCGGGUUCGGGUUAAUUCGAUCGGGUUUCGGGUUGUUCGGGUUGGACAAAUAUUAAUCCGAAUACAACCCGAUCUUACAACCCGAUCCGAUCCGAUAUAUAUUCGGGUCGGAUCGGAUCGGGUCAAAAAAUCGGGUUGAACUCGGGUAGAAUUGGGUUAGGGUUAACAAAUCGGAUUGAGUUCGGGUUAUUUAAGUUCUAAUCGGGUUGGGUGAAAGCUUCAAAAUUAACGCUAAUUAUAUACCAUGAAAUGAAAGCUCAUUGUGGGGGUAUUUCCUUCCUCAAUUAAUUUGAGUGAAGGUAGUCUUCUCCCUUACCCAUGAGUGAGGAGUAGACAUCCCUCGAAUAUUUGUGAGGGUUAAAAUCUGGGCAGAGCUCCAUUAGCAUUGAUGUCAGUUGGUCCCAGUAAUAGUCUGAUUUGUAAAUAUCAGUAAUAGUCUCAUGUAUAUGAGUUGUAAUCUGAGCAAUAGUCUCAUGUAAUAAAAAAAAAAAGAAUUGAGAGGUUUUUUGGGAAGUUUCAACAAUCCCUCUACUUAUAAAUACUUACAGACACACUAGAAUUUAGAAGGGUAGAGUUAUAUAAUG
RNAcentral lists this long non-coding RNA (1187 nucleotides) under Citrus sinensis (sweet orange). RNAcentral's name for it is "long non-coding RNA (CSIN_LNC003201)". The record is from RNAcentral. Lineage: Eukaryota; Viridiplantae; Streptophyta; Magnoliopsida; Sapindales; Rutaceae.